This 301-nucleotide ribosomal RNA is filed under the name uncultured bacterium. Its description in RNAcentral is "partial 16S ribosomal RNA". It matches the Rfam family "Bacterial small subunit ribosomal RNA", at positions 509 to 809 of the family's 1533-position model. The record is from RNAcentral.
CAGCCGCCGCGGGAAUACGAAGGGUGCAAGCGUUAAUCGGAAUUACUGGGCGUAAAGCGUGCGUAGGCGGUUUGUUAAGUCUGUUGUGAAAUCCCCGGGCUCAACCUGGGAAUGGCAAUGGAUACUGGCAAGCUAGAGUGUGUCAGAGGAUGGUGGAAUUCCCGGUGUAGCGGUGAAAUGCGUAGAGAUCGGGAGGAACAUCAGUGGCGAAGGCGGCCAUCUGGGACAACACUGACGCUGAGGCACGAAAGCGUGGGGAGCAAACAGGAUUAGAUACCCCUGUAGUCCCUGUCUCUUAUAA